AAAUUGAAGAGUUUGAUCAUGGCUCAGAUUGAACGCUGGCGGCAGGCCUAACACAUGCAAGUCGAACGGUAACAGGAAUCAGCUUGCUGAUUUGCUGACGAGUGGCGGACGGGUGAGUAAUGUCUGGGAAGCUGCCUGAUGGAGGGGGAUAACUACUGGAAACGGUAGCUAAUACCGCAUAACGUCGCAAGACCAAAGAGGGGGACCUUCGGGCCUCUUGCCAUCGGAUGUGCCCAGAUGGGAUUAGCUAGUAGGUGGGGUAACGGCUCACCUAGGCGACGAUCCCUAGCUGGUCUGAGAGGAUGGCCAGCCACACUGGAACUGAGACACGGUCCAGACUCCUACGGGAGGCAGCAGUGGGGAAUAUUGCACAAUGGGCGCAAGCCUGAUGCAGCCAUGCCGCGUGUAUGAAGAAGGCCUUCGGGUUGUAAAGUACUUUCAGCGGGGAGGAAGGGAGUAAAGUUAAUACCUUUGCU
RNAcentral lists this ribosomal RNA (476 nucleotides) under Escherichia coli. Its description in RNAcentral is "bacterial SSU rRNA". It matches the Rfam family "Bacterial small subunit ribosomal RNA", at positions 1 to 473 of the family's 1533-position model. The record is from RNAcentral. Lineage: Bacteria; Pseudomonadati; Pseudomonadota; Gammaproteobacteria; Enterobacterales; Enterobacteriaceae.